GACGAACGCUGGCGGCGUGCUUAACACAUGCAAGUCGAACGGAAAGGCCCUGCUUUUGUGGGGUGCUCGAGUUGCGAACGGGUGAGUAACACGUGAGUAACCUGCCCUUGACUUUGGGAUAACUUCAGGAAACUGGGUCUAAUACCGGAUAGGAGCUCCUGCUGCAUGGUGGGGGUUGGAAAGUUUCGGCGGUUGGGGAUGGACUCGCGGCUUAUCAGCUUGUUGGUGGGGUAGUGGCUUACCAAGGAUUUGACGGGUAGCCGGCCUGAGAGGGUGACCGGCCACAUUGGGAGUGAGAUACGGCCCAGACUCAUACGGGAGGGAGGAGGGGGGAAUAUAGCACAAUGGGCGGAAGCAUGAUGCAGCAACGCAGGGUGCGGGAGGACGGCAUUCGGGUUGUAAACAGAUUUCGCCUGUGACGAAGCGUGAGUGACGGUAAUGGGUAAAGAAGCACCGGCUAACUACGU
Molecule: ribosomal RNA, 467 nt
Filed under: uncultured bacterium
Lineage: Bacteria
Description: partial 16S ribosomal RNA
Rfam family: Bacterial small subunit ribosomal RNA
Source: RNAcentral